GGAUGCGAUCAUACCAGCACUAAAGCACCGGAUCCUAUCAGAACUCCGAAGUUAAGCGUGCUUGGGCGAGAGUAGUACUAGGAUGGGUGACCUCUUGGGAAGUCCUUGUGUUGCAUUCC
This 119-nucleotide ribosomal RNA is filed under the name Triticum aestivum (bread wheat). The record is from RNAcentral. Lineage: Eukaryota; Viridiplantae; Streptophyta; Magnoliopsida; Poales; Poaceae.